This is a non-coding RNA of Vicia faba (fava bean), 300 nucleotides long. NCBI's taxonomy places the organism in Eukaryota, Viridiplantae, Streptophyta, Magnoliopsida, Fabales, Fabaceae. The record is from the annotation of a GenBank genome assembly.
AUGGCGGGGAGAUUUCCGAAUGGGAGGAGAAGCGGCUUAGGUUGCGCAAGAAUUGAUUCUGCCAUAAUUUUAGUUUUUGGGACUGAAUUUAUUUCCGGAGCAGGUUUUGUUGCUGCUUCUACUUCAGUAUCGGAGAUAACGUCAGGAGGAGUAGCUUCGGGUUUCUGUAAGGUCUCAACAAUAUCGGGAGUAACAUCUGAUUUCUGCACAGUGGCACUAGUUGUAGGGAGCUCUAGAAAUUUUUUUGUUGGUGCAGGAAGAGCCUUGUUACCGUUGGUGGAGGUUUUCUUGCAUGAGUAA